AAACUUGUGCUAAUACCGGAUAAGUCUUUACGGAGAAAGCUUUAUGCACCAUUGGAUGAGCCUGCACUUGAUUAGUUUGUUGGUGGGGUAAUGGCCUACCAAGACUGUGAUCAAUAGCUGAUUUGAGAGGAUGAUCAGCCACAUUGGGACUGAGACACGGCCCAAACUCCUACGGGAGGCAGCAGUGGGGAAUCUUGCACAAUGGAGGAAACUCUGAUGCAGCGAUGCCGCGUGAGUGAAGAAGGCCUUUGGGUUGUAAAGCUCUUUCGUCGGGGAAGAAAAUGACUGUACCCGAAUAAGAAGGUCCGG
RNAcentral lists this ribosomal RNA (309 nucleotides) under uncultured Pseudomonadota bacterium. Its description in RNAcentral is "bacterial SSU rRNA". It matches the Rfam family "Bacterial small subunit ribosomal RNA", at positions 154 to 496 of the family's 1533-position model. The record is from RNAcentral. Lineage: Bacteria; Pseudomonadati; Pseudomonadota.